UGUGUUUUGCAAAUUGUAUUCUUGGA
Molecule: unclassified non-coding RNA, 26 nt
Filed under: Mus musculus (house mouse)
Lineage: Eukaryota; Metazoa; Chordata; Mammalia; Rodentia; Muridae
Description: piRNA piR-mmu-68279751
Source: RNAcentral